Molecule: ribosomal RNA, 254 nt
Filed under: uncultured bacterium
Lineage: Bacteria
Description: partial 16S ribosomal RNA
Rfam family: Bacterial small subunit ribosomal RNA
Source: RNAcentral
UACGUAGGGUGCGAGCGUUGUCCGGAAUUAUUGGGCGUAAAGAGCUCGUAGGCGGUCUGUCGCGUCGAUCGUGAAAACUUGGGGCUUAACCCUGAGCUUGCGGUCGAUACGGGCAUGACUGGAGUUCGGCAGGGGAGACUGGAAUUCCUGGUGUAGCGGUGAAAUGCGCAGAUAUCUGGAGGAACACCGGUGGCGAAGGCGGCAUCCUGGACCGGUAUUGACGCUGAGGCGCGAAAGCCAGGGGAGCAAACGGG